Molecule: ribosomal RNA, 301 nt
Filed under: uncultured bacterium
Lineage: Bacteria
Description: partial 16S ribosomal RNA
Rfam family: Bacterial small subunit ribosomal RNA
Source: RNAcentral
CAGCAGCCGCGGUAAAACGUAGGGUGCAAGCGUUAAUCGGAAUUACUGGGCGUAAAGCGUGCGCAGGCGGUUUGUUAAGACAGAUGUGAAAUCCCCGGGCUCAACCUGGGAACUGCAUUUGUGACUGGCAAGCUAGAGUAUGGCAGAGGGGGGUGGAAUUCCGCGUGUAGCAGUGAGAUGCGUAGAUAUGCGGAGGAACACCGAUGGCGAAGGCAGCCCCCUGGGCCAAUACUGACGCUCAUGCACGAAAGCGUGGGGAGCAAACAGGAUUAGAUACCCCCGUAGUCCCUGUCUCUUAUAC